RNAcentral lists this transfer RNA (75 nucleotides) under Agromyces ramosus. Its description in RNAcentral is "tRNA-Arg". It matches the Rfam family "tRNA". Rfam says of the family: Transfer RNA (tRNA) molecules are approximately 80 nucleotides in length. RNAcentral also lists the same sequence under 12 other names. Lineage: Bacteria; Bacillati; Actinomycetota; Actinomycetes; Micrococcales; Microbacteriaceae. The record is from RNAcentral.
GCCUCUGUAGCUCAAUGGAAGAGCAGUUCCGUCCUAAGGAAAGGGUUGGGGGUUCGAGUCCCUCCAGGGGCACCG